This 468-nucleotide ribosomal RNA is filed under the name uncultured bacterium. RNAcentral's name for it is "partial 16S ribosomal RNA". It matches the Rfam family "Bacterial small subunit ribosomal RNA", at positions 28 to 507 of the family's 1533-position model. The record is from RNAcentral.
GACGAACGCUGGCGGCGUGCUUAACACAUGCAAGUCGAACGGAAAGGCCCUGCUUUUGUGGGGUGCUCGAGUGGCGAACGGGUGAGUAACACGUGAGUAACCUGCCCUUGACUUUGGGAUAACUUCAGGAAACUGGGGCUAUUACCGGAUAGGAGCUCCUGCUGCAUGGGGGGGGUUGGAAAGUUUCGGCGGUUGGGGAUGGACUCGCGGGUUAUCAGCUUGUUGGUGGGGUAGUGGCUUACCAAGGGUUUGACGGCUAGCCGGCCUGGGAGGGGGACCGGCGACAUUGGGACUGAGAUACGGACCAGACUCCUACGGGAGGCAGCGGUGGGGAAUAUUGCGCAAUGGGCGGAAGCCUGAGGCAGCGACGCCGCGUGCGGGAUGACGUCCUUCGGGUUGUAAACCGCUUUCGCCUGUGACGAAGCGUGAGUGACGGUAAUGGGUAAAGAAGCACCGGCUAACUACGUG